GCAUUUCAAUCAUUUAUUCUCUUAUUAUUUCACAUAUUGCAAGAAUUUAUAUUUGCACAUAGAACAUAACAUUUAUAAUGUUACAAGAAAUCAAACUUAAAGGAAAAAAAUAACAUUGUUCCUUAAACACCUUAUAUCAAUACUACAAAUCCUUUUUGUAGCUUUUUAAAUGCAAACCAAUGAAAUCAAAUAUUUCUAUAUCAUAUGAAAUAUCUAGUUUUUUCUAUUGAAAGUUUACACAAUCAUCUCCCUUGUUGAAGCUGUACAGUGGCCUAUAUUUGUUUACAUCCACUUCAUUUGAACUAUGGAAGAUAAUUGUCUCAUUGGCAAUACUUAUUUUUGAUAUUCAUCUAUCUAUACAACUGAACGUAUAAUGUGUUUAGACAAAUGUUUUAUCAAAGUAUUAACCAUAAAAUAAUUGCAUCAUUUAGGAAUAAAAAUUGUUCUGAUCCAGCAAAAGAAAAAAACAUUCCAUAUCAAAAUUGAACAAAUUAAAAAAUAAAAGAGUACUGUUUUAAACAGGGUAAAAUAAAAUAUUAUUACAGAAAGUGAACACCCAUGGCUUUGAAGAAAAGCAAUAAAAUCAACUUUUACAUGAUUAUUUUCAUGUAAUCAUUAGAUAUACUUAGUCUGCUAUCAAUGUUUGCCAAAAAAUAGCUCUGUACAAUGAACACAUGUCAAUAAAGUAAUUGCCUACCCCCUUAUUGUGCAUGAGGUAUAAUCUGGAAACUUUGGCAAAAGAGAGUUUGAGGUAUUUUUGAUAAGCCUGACUUGGUCACUUAUAAUAUAUAUAGAACACAAACUACAGAACAUAAUUACCAGGAUUAUUUUAAAGAAAUAACAUAUGCUAAUAGUAAUUGCCUUGAUAAAAUUAUACUUCAAUGUAAGGAACUUAUUCUAAUUACUAUGAGUCUGGACAUAUUUGAUGUUUUUUUUUUCAGAAUUGCUAAUUUAAUCAAAUACAUAACGUUUGUAACUUGCCAUUUCUUGUGGUUUUGUAUACUAUUAAUAAAUCAAUAACAGUACAGAUUUUUUUUUUCACACUCUAUGAGAAUUUUGACAAUAAUGCUUCAGAUCAAAAUAUUUGUUAAUCCCGAACUUAUUCAAAAGAAGAUAAAGAGCUUAUAAAACAAAAAGGCCAAAAAACAAAAGAACGGGUAAGAAUUCAGAGCUUUGUAUGAGGGAGAUAUCUUUCUUAAUUUAAAAUAAUUUCCAAAAGUAAUUAAUGAUUGGGAAACUGAUCAGCUGUACAUGUGUCAUUAUUAAAAAUAUAUAUAUCUUCCUUGUGGUUUGUUACUUUACUUUCUUGAACAGAAAGCCUGUUUGUAAGAAUUUUCGUCUGAUCACAAAUGCACAUUUGAAGUUUUAGUGUGUUUUUUGGACAAAAGAAUGAAAAUUGAUAAAUCUGACAUAAACCUAGAUUUAUCAAGUUUUUAAAUGUUACAUUCAUGCAUAUUGACUUGGUUAAACGUAUACAAAACUAGCAGAGGAGAGUCACUGUAAUCAAUUUUUAUGCACUUUUAAAUAUAUGGAGAUUACUUGUAACAACAGUCGUAAGAUUUGUGUGGCACUUAUAUUGCAAUAAUUAAAAUGAAAAAAAUUCGUAAGGGUUCCACGGAACCCAGUGUCUUGCCUACUUUUGCUGUUAAUCGCAGACUCAACAAAAAUGAGGAAAAACACCAAUAAAAAUUUCCCUCUCAAUACUGCCUUUUGAUUGAAAGAAGCUUCCAAGUUUAAAAAAAUCCAGGAUAGUUUAUGAAUCUAAUAAAAAUUUUAAAAACUUAAACCACAGAGUGAAUGUUUUGUUUCUGGCAAAAAAACUAAGUCCAUUUAUAAGUAAAAUACGUAAAAGUGGAAAUUUAUUUUUACAAAAUUUUCUUCUUGAUACUAUCUUAUGAUCAUAAACAAGCUUCUGUCCAAGUUUGGUACAAAUCAAGGACAGUUUAUGAAAGUUAUUAAAAUUUUAAAAACUUUAACCACAGAGUGAAUGUAAUGUUUCCUCGCAGAAAAACUAAGUCCAUUUAUAAGUAAAAUACGGAAAAAAUGGAAUUUUAUUUUUACAAAAUAUACUUCUGGAUACUUUCUUAUGAUCAUAAACAAGCUUCUGUCCAAGUUUGGUAGAAAUUCAGUAUAGUUUAAGAAAGUUAUUAAAAUUUCAAAAACUUUAACCACAGAGUGAAUAUUUGUGGACGCCGCCGCCGCCACCAAC
RNAcentral lists this long non-coding RNA (2209 nucleotides) under Mytilus galloprovincialis (Mediterranean mussel). Lineage: Eukaryota; Metazoa; Mollusca; Bivalvia; Mytilida; Mytilidae. The record is from RNAcentral.